AGUGAACGCUGGCGGUAGGCCUAACACAUGCAAGUCGAACGGCAGCACAGUAAGAGCUUGCUCUUACGGGUGGCGAGUGGCGGACGGGUGAGGAAUACAUCGGAAUCUACCUUUUCGUGGGGGAUAACGUAGGGGAAACUUACGCUAAUACCGCAUACGACCUACGGGUGAAAGCAGGGGAUCUUCGGACCUUGCGCGAUUGAAUGAGCCGAUGUCGGAUUAGCUAGUUGGCGGGGUAAAGGCCCACCAAGGCGACGAUCCGUAGCUGGUCUGAGAGGAUGAUCAGCCACACUGGAACUGAGACACGGUCCAGACUCCUACGGGAGGCAGCAGUGGGGAAUAUUGGACAAUGGGCGCAAGCCUGAUCCAGCCAUACCGCGUGGGUGAAGAAGGCCUUCGGGUUGUAAAGCCCUUUUGUUGGGAAAGAAAAGCAGCAGGUUAAUACCCCGCUGUUCUGACGGUACCCAAAGAAUAAGCACCGGCUAACUUCGUG
Molecule: ribosomal RNA, 493 nt
Filed under: uncultured bacterium
Lineage: Bacteria
Description: partial 16S ribosomal RNA
Rfam family: Bacterial small subunit ribosomal RNA
Source: RNAcentral